RNAcentral lists this ribosomal RNA (467 nucleotides) under uncultured bacterium. RNAcentral's name for it is "partial 16S ribosomal RNA". It matches the Rfam family "Bacterial small subunit ribosomal RNA", at positions 28 to 507 of the family's 1533-position model. The record is from RNAcentral.
GAUGAACGCUGACAGAAUGCUUAACACAUGCAAGUCAACUUGAAUUUGGGUUUUUAACUUAGGUUUGGGUGGCGGACGGGUGAGUAACGCGUAAAGAACUUGCCUCACAGCUAGGGACAACAUUUGUAAACGAAUGCUAAUACCUAAUAUUAUGAUAAUAGGGCAUCCUAUAAUUAUGAAAGCUAUAAGCGCUGUGAGAGAGCUUUGCGUCCCAUUAGCUAGUUGGAGAGGUAACGGCUCACCAAGGCGAUGAUGGGUAGCCGGCCUGAGAGGGUGAUCGGCCACAAGGGGACUGAGACACGGCCCUUACUCCUACGGGAGGCAGCAGUGGGGAAUAUUGGACAAUGGACCGAGAAUCUGAUCCAGCAAUUCUGUGUGCACGAUGAAGUUUUUCGGAAUGUAAAGUGCUUUCAGUUGGGAAGAAACAAAUGACGGUACCAACAGAAGAAGUGACGGCUAAAUACGUG